RNAcentral lists this ribosomal RNA (499 nucleotides) under uncultured bacterium. Its description in RNAcentral is "bacterial SSU rRNA". It matches the Rfam family "Bacterial small subunit ribosomal RNA", at positions 30 to 521 of the family's 1533-position model. The record is from RNAcentral.
ACUGAACGCUGGCGGCGUGCCUAACACAUGCAAGUCGAGCGGUAACAGGUGUAGCAAUACAUGCUGACGAGCGGCGGACGGGUGAGUAACGCUUGGGAAUCUGCCUAUUAGUGGGGGACAACCCGGGGAAACUCGGGCUAAUACCGCAUACGCUCUACGGAGGAAAGCCGGGGACCGCAAGGCCUGGCGCUAAUAGAUGAGCCCAAGUCGGAUUAGCUAGUUGGAGGGUAACGGCCUACCAAGGCUACGAUCCGUAACUGGUCUGAGAGGACGACCAGUCACACCGGAACUGAGACACGGUCCGGACUCCUACGGGAGGCAGCAGUGGGGAAUAUUGGACAAUGGGGGAAACCCUGAUCCAGCGACGCCGCGUGGGUGAAGAAGGCCUGCGGGUUGUAAAGCCCUUUCAGUGGGGAAGAAAAGCCUCGACCUAACACGUCGGGGUCUUGACGUAACCCAUAGAAGAAGCACCGGCUAACUCUGUGCCAGCAGCCGCCGU